UACGUAUGGAGCAAGCGUUAUCCGGAUUUACUGGGUGUAAAGGGAGCGUAGGCGGCAUACCAAGCCUGAUGUGAAAACCCGGGGCCCAACCCCAGGAGUGCAUUGGGAACUGGCAAGCUAGAGUGUCGGAGAGGCAGGCGGAAUUCCUAGUGUAGCGGUGAAAUGCGUAGAUAUUAGGAGGAACACCAGUGGCGAAGGCGGCCUGCUGGACGAUGACUGACGCUGAGGCUCGAAAGCGUGGGGAGCAAACAGG
This 253-nucleotide ribosomal RNA is filed under the name uncultured bacterium. Its description in RNAcentral is "partial 16S ribosomal RNA". It matches the Rfam family "Bacterial small subunit ribosomal RNA", at positions 524 to 776 of the family's 1533-position model. The record is from RNAcentral.